AGCUCAGACGCGGCCGCAUCCUCGUGGACGGUAGAGGCGGCAGCGAGCUAGAGCCCGAGUCACAGCUCGCCGCCGCGGAGAGGCCAGGCGAGCCCGAGCGCGCGGGGAUCCGGCCCAGGGUCGGCGGGCAGCUCUGCGCGUGGCGGAGGUCAUGGUAUACUGAAAAGGCACUCAAUCAAGAGAAAUCUGGAGGGAGUUGGAAACCAUCAAGUUUUUGAGGACACAAAGGGUGCAGAAAAGAUCGAGGUUGGUAUACUUUUGAUUCAUCAAUCCUGUGAUUGAAGGUGUCCCUGAAAGUAUCUCUGUUGCUGUAAAGCCAGAGGGCAGCAAAGAAAAGGUAAAGUGAGAGGUCUUUAUUUUAGAAAACAAAUCCAUAUGGUUAAAUUGAAGCUUGAUAGAAUCUUAAUGUCACAUUAGUAGCAAGUAAUGCAUGCUGAGAACUUGAGCUACUUGUUUCCAGCCUCUGUCCACCAGGGACAGAGUACAGAGAUGAAGCUUGGUUUGAUAUUUCUGUUCUUAGCUAUGCUUAUUUAAAUUGUUCUCAACAGAAGCAGCUCAUCCACCAAAAUAAUGUUUUAAAUUUAUAUCUUUUAAAACAGAAGAAAAACUCAUUAUCUAUCAGGUCUAAUAAAUGUACUGCUCUUCUAAUACUGAUCUCAGAGAUCAUACUGAUGGCUUUAUAAGCAGUAUAUGCAAGUAAAUAUUCUUGAUGACACUGAUUGGUGGACAUAAAUCCCAAAUGCUUUCUAUGUCCUGCUGAUGUAUUUGAGGCCCCCCAACCUCCUAGUGCUGCGUUUCCCACUCAGAGUGAGAGACCCGCUCCCCUGUUGCCGUUAAGAUGGAAAAUUGGAGGCCUUGGAAUAAGCCUCUGCCUGCAAAAGGCUCUGGCAGUCUCCUCCCACUCUCCAUUCCCAUGGGAACCAAGCCUCAAAGGAACGGGCAGGAGUGGAAGACAUUACAUUUGGUUGAGGCUUGUUGCCUGGUUUUCUUAAAACCAGUAUAACUUUCCUAUUAACCCACUGUGAUUUCAUUUAGACAAUGGCAUCAUUGUAAUUGUGUUAUCUGAGCAUUUUUACUAUUUUUGUGUCAACUUUUUCAGGUUAUGUCAGCAGAGAAUAACAUGUUUUAAUUGAAGUCUGCCUUCUUUUAUGCUGUAAUUUCACACAAAUAAUAUUAUCAAAAGCACUUUUAUUUCUACAUAAGCAACAGAAAUCUCCAUCCUUAGAAAAAACAGCAAGAACCUAUGUGAACAUUAAUUUUGUAGUCCAGGAAAAUUAAGGCUAACGUCACAUAAUUUAUUGAGUCUAUUGUGAGUGGAGUGUGUAGUGAUUUAUAGAUGGAAUACCAUGCAGUCCUCACAAUAACUGUGUGAGAAAAGUAAGGAAGGCAUAGUUAUUCCCUGUGACAAAAGUGCACCUUGCCAGUUGCACACAUUUAGCUAGUGGUGGUGAAAUUAGGAUUUGAGGCUAAUUUUGUUUGAUCUUAAGCCUAUGCCCUUGACCAGCUUGGAUCAUGCAAAGAUGAGCAAAGUAUCUUGUUUACAUCAGGUAUUUAUAAUCAGUGGUUGAAAAUAUACGUUUUUAAGGAACACAUCAUCCCAUGCUCUAUGAACUCUACAAAAGAGAUGAAAAAUUUUUCUGAUUCAUGUAACCAAAAGCGUAAUACUAAAGAACAAAAAAAAAUUAAAAACACUAAAGUAGCCCCAAAGAGAAAAAUCACAAAAAUUCACUGAAAUACUAAAUACAGGAAUAUGGAAAUCAGCACAAUAGAAUAAUACAACAAAGUGGUGUUUAUUCUAGAAAGUGGUUCAAUAUUGAGAAAUUUAUUUUAAGUUCAUAAUCAUAGACAAGAAGGAUAAAACUGCUAGUUUUAAUUUCUUAACAGGUUCCAAGUUACAUUUAAUAAAAUACUACUGUAUGUCAUUUAAGAACACACAUGUAUACAACAUAGUAAUUUAGAAAUAGAGAGAUGUUAUAAAAUUGUGAACAAGCGGAAAAAAACAGAACAUUAGAAUCUUACAUGCCCUAUUUCAUCACUUAAUUUAGCAUCAUUCUACAAAUUCUAGCCAAUGUAAUAGAUUUUUAAAAAUGACUGUCAUUUUAAAACUUAUUAUAUAUGCUGGAAACUGUUCUAAGUACUUAACCAGCAUUAACUCAUUUAAUCUUCAUAGCAAUCCUAGGGAGUAGUAGUCACUAUUAUUCUCAUUUUACAAAUUAAGAAAUUGAGGCCAAGAAAAACUAAGUAACUUUGCUGAAGUUGCAUAACUAAUCAGUGGUAGAGCCUAAUAAGCACUCAAGUGGCUUAACUUGUGUCUUUAAUUUAAAACACUAUGAUAUGCUGCCUUUCAAAAUUUGUAAUUAUUAGAAGUGACAUCUUUUUUCCUUAAAAAAGUAUAUAUGUGUGUGUAUAUAUAUAGAGAUUUUGUGUAUAUAUAUAUAUAUAUAUACACANAUAUUUUACUAAAAAUCCCAAGAAAAUCAACUAAAGAACUGUUAGAAUAAGAGAUUUCAGUUUAGUGGUCAUACGAAAGAUUUAUGUGUAUGAAUAUCAAUCUAUAACAGCUGCAAAUAGAAAACAUGAGAAAAUAAUCCAAUAUAUAAUAAUCAUGAAAUGUCAUAUCCAUGACAAUUCUAAUAAGAUAAAAAAACAUUUAUUGAGAAACGCAGAAUAAGAUUAGCAGUAAUGGAGACUGAUAUUGUAUUAGAGGAUGAGAAAAAUAAACAUUGUAAUGAUUUUAGCUUCUCCAAAUUAAUUUAUAAAAUUAAUGCAAUCCCAUACAGUACCACAAAGAGAUUUUUAGGGAAAGGUUGGAAAUAUGAUUAUUAAAAUUCAUCUGGAAGAAUGAACAGAUUGCAAAAAGCAAAUUUUUGAAAAAGUGAUGAAGAGAUAACUUCUAAUUCCAAGUAUUUAAAAAUAUUGUAAAAUUACUGCUACUAAGACAGUAUGAUAUGUUUUACUGAAAUAGAGACCUCGGAGGAGCUUAAUCAUCUUGAAAAUUCCCCAGAGUUAAGCACAUAAAGGUAAUGUUUGGUAAAGACAUCAUUUCAUGUUGGUGGAGAAAGUAUUGAUUAUUACAAGAACACAAUUGCAAUAAUUAGUUAUUAUUAUGAAAAAUUGUAAAGUUGAAUCUUUUAUUCACACAAAUACAAGUAAAUAUCAAAUUAAUUGAAGAAUAGAAAAUAAUGAGAUACAACUGAAAAAUAGAUGAAUAAUUUAUAAUCUUAUUUAAUAUGACAUCAAAGGCCAAAACCAGAAAUGAAGAUUGAUAGGCUUGACUAUGGACAUAUUAAAAGUGUUUUAUGUACAAACAGAAAGGAGACUCAAGCAGCAUGCCUAGCACUGUGUUUCGACAUUCUUUUCUUGUUUUGGGGAUAGAGAGUGAAUAAAUCAGCAAGUUCUGUUUGAAUAAUAUUCCAAACACACUACUGUUUGAAGGCUUAAUAAAGCAGAGCCCAUCCUGGGAUAGUACUCAUUUGGUAUUGUACUCACUAUAGGCAAAGAGCAAAUUCCAAUGGUGAAAUUCUAGAGAAGAUAAUGACAUGGUAGCUAGGAUUGUUCCACCUCAAAAUGUCAACUAAAUUUGAGUUAUAGCAUCCAAUAGAGGAAGGGAUUUCAUCUAGACAGUUGUAUAAUCCUUACACAUGCCAGGGCAUUUCCAUUUCAGUAGAAGUUAUUCACAUUUUUGUAUAACAUCUGAAUUUUUACAGUGUGUUAAAACAUGUUAUGUCUAAUAAAAAUAAAUUAUUUCCAGUUUCCUGUCUUGAAUUAUGCAGGAGAAUUAUGGAUAGUUGCAGAGGAAGGACAAAAAUAUAAAAUUUGGAGAGAUAUUUCCUGUUUUAUUGUAGAGUACGGUGCAAGAAAGAAAGUUGUAUUCUAUUUUUUUUUUUUUUUUAAUGGCUGCACCCAUGGCAUAUGGAAGUUCCUGGGCCAGGGGUUGAAUCUGAGCCUCAGCUGUGACCUAUGGCACAACUGCGGCGAUACAGGAUCCUUUAACCCAUUGCGCCAGACCAAGGAUGGAACCUGUGCCUCCAUAUCAACCUAAGCCACUGCAGUUGGAUUCUUAAUCCACUACACCGUGGAACUCUGAAAGACUGUAUUCUUUAUUUCCCUCUAAAGCAGCUUUUCUCCUUUAAUGUCGGGGCCCUAGAGCAAGUAGGAAAGCAACAUUUAUCAUUUAUCAAUGAACAACGAAAUAAAGAAAAAUAAAGUUUUAUUUUAAAUAUCCUAGGUAAUAUCAGCCUGCACUAUGACAGUCAAUUCACACUAACACUAACAAAACAGUUAUUUUCUGUCCUGGGCCCUAUUAGAAAAUUGCUAGAUUCCGAGCCUCAAAUAUCUCAUGGGAAAGAGUAACCAGCAGGCACAUUAACUUCUUUGUCUAUCUCUUCAUAUUCUGUCCUUCUCGGUGUCCCUGGCCACUGCUAGGGACACCUCCUGAGGUCGUUCACCCUGCUCCAUGCCUUUCUGCUAGUGGUCCCUCAGCUGACACAGAACACCCCCCCCCCCAUUCCAACCUCUCCCCCAUAUGUAGUGCUCUUUUGUUUCCAGGUUCAAAUUGCCCAGUGCUCUGCAUUCAGCUACCCUUCCUCUCUUUUCUAACCUGACCAUUGUCCUUAGAACAAACCACUCAGGUUUUUUUCUUCAACUCUUUUUGUCCACCACCUCUAAACAGGUUUUUACCUCUCUGACACAAGGGCUGGGGCUGUUAAUAGAUGGCUUUUUCUCAAGAAGCUUACAGGUCUUGGGGAUUGGCUAAUAGCUAUCAUUGGUGUCCUUCCUUAUAAGGUCUUUCAGCUACUCAUGAAGUUAUAUCCUUAACGGAUCCAUCAAAGAGAGGCUUAGCCAUUUUGUGUUAAAUAAGAGUAAAAAUAUCAAACAAAUGCAACUCUAAAGAUCUUAUUAAUCAAUCUUAUUAAUUUUCAUGUUAGCCAAACUGUCAGUUUUGAAGACCGUUAAAAAACUUUGCAAGCAGUGAGUUCUGGAGGGGAAAAUGGACAACAAAACAAAUAAAACAACCAUCAAAUAAGAGAGCAGAACAAACAGGCAUCAUUACAAAGAAAAGAAAGGAAGUCUAUACAAAGAAAGGAGGUUGUCAUUGAGAGUUUAGCACUAAUUAUUAGUGAUCAAAAUAAUUUCCAUUUGGGAGUUCCUGUUGUGGUGCAGUGGAAACGAAUCUGACUAAUAUCCAUGAGGAUACGGGUUUGAUCCCUGGCCUCGAUCGGGGAUCUGGCGUUGCUGUGAGCUGUGGUGUAGGCUGGCAGCUGCAGCUUGAAUUUGACCCCUAGCCUGGGAACUUCCAUAUGCCAUGGGUGUGGCCCAAAAAGACAAAAAAAUAGUGAUAAUUGCCAUUGAAUGCUCAUACUGUUUGCAAGACUCAUUUUCUCAUCUUUCAUUCAGUACAUAUUGAGCACUUGAACCAUUUGCUCUGUGCCAGGUGUGAGCAUGGAAGAUGUAGGGCUGAGGAUACUCUGCAAUCCCCAGGGAUUGGUGAACUGCAAGGCCUAGAGGAAAAUUGACUAGAGAUGGUGAGGAGACCCAAAGAGCACCAUAUCAAGAGUAGCUGAUGUUUAGUACUUUGGAGAGAUUCUGAGGGAUGAUGUGCUCACUUUCUUCAGUUCAGUGAGGAAUAUCAUCUGUACGAUUGAGCAGGCAAAACUCGGUUGAGUGGAUAUGUCAGAGGAAAACAUACUUUUAUUUAAUCAAAAGAUUGGCUACCUCUAGUACCUGAGAUAGUUCCAGAAGCUUGGUACCACGAGGCAGGAAAGUGACACAGGGGAUUCAUAAGUGAAAUGGUGAGAGGCUGAAGAUGGAGGGUUGGUGAUUAACUCAUCUCUGAAGACAAACCUUCCCUGAUCUGUUAUUGAGAGACAGUUGAAUUGGGAAUGGCUCCUCUGAGGACUCUUGGACCUUGACCAAAUUUCUUAUCUCUGAGUCUUAUUUCCUACAUCAGAGGAAUAGGGAUAUAUCUCAUAGGACUGUGGUGAGAAAUGAGUUGAAUAAUGAGUGUAGAUGAACAAAUUUUAAAUGUUCAGCCUAAAAUAGGCAUUCAGUAAACAAUACUGUUAUUAUGGGGACCUAGAAGCUCAUCUUGAGAAACACUUGGACUGCCUUAAACAAUCCAGGAAGUUAAAAUGAUGCCCAUUAAUGUAGAAUGUCCUUCCCACCCCAUCCUGGCAUUUGAAAAAAACAAAAUCUUUCUAAAAUGUGCAGUGAGGAGUUCCCAUCAUGGCACAGUGGUUAACGAAUCCAACUAGGAUUGCAAGUUCAAUCCCUGGCCUUGCUCAGUGGGUUAAGGAUCCGGCGUUGCCAUGAGCUGCAGUGUAGGUCGCAGAUGCGGCUCAGAUCCGGCAUUGCUGUGGCCCUGGCAUAGGCCGGUGGCUACAGCUCCAAUUCGACCCCUAGCCUGGGAACCUCCAUGUGCCAUGGGAAGCAGCCCUAGAAAAAGGCAAAAAGACAUAAAUAAAUAAAUAAAUAAAUAAAUAAAUAAAUAAAAUGUGCAGUGAGCAAUAGUAAACAUACGACGUUAUAAAACACAUUGGGCCAAUGGUUCCAUUUUGUUAGUAUUUUCUUAUUAUUUGUUCUUAGAUGCUGGAAAGAUUCCUUUUUUUAGCUCAGUCUCCAGCUCUUAGAAUUAUGCUAAGGGACCUAUAUUGGCAACCUCCAUAUGUUAUAUCAAAAAUGAUCUUUAGAAGUUCCCAUCAUGGCUCGAUGGAAACUAAUCUAUUAUCCAUGAGGAUGCAGGUUCAGUCCCUGGCCUUACUCAGUGGGUUAAGGAUCUGGCAUUGCUGUGAGCUGUGGUGUAGGUUGCAGACGUGGCUUGGAUCCUGCAUUGCUGUGGCUGUGGUAUAGGCCUGCAGGUGCAGCUCUGAUUCGACCCAUAGCCUGGGAACCUCCAUAUUCCACAAGUGUGGCCCUAAAAAGACAAAAAAAA
RNAcentral lists this long non-coding RNA (6931 nucleotides) under Sus scrofa (pig). Its description in RNAcentral is "lncRNA (ENSSSCG00035066126.1)". The record is from RNAcentral. Lineage: Eukaryota; Metazoa; Chordata; Mammalia; Artiodactyla; Suidae.